UGCAUCGAUGAAGAACGCAGCGAAAUGCGAUAAGUAAUGCGAAUUGCAGAAUUCAGUGAGUCAUCGAAUCUUUGAACGCACAUUGCGCCCUGUGGUAUUCCGCAGGGCAUGCCUGUUCGAGCGUCAUUUCAACCCUCAAGCUCCGCUUGGUGUUGGGCCCUGCCCCCGCGGCCGGCCCCAAAGACAGUGGCGGCGCCGCUUGGCCCUAAGCGUAGUACAUCUCUCGCUCUAGGACCCGGCGGUGGCCUGCCAGAACCCCAAACUCAUGUGGUUGACCUCGGAUCAGGUAGGGAUACCCGCUGAACUUAAGCAUAUCAAUAAGCGGAGGAA
This 330-nucleotide ribosomal RNA is filed under the name Oidiodendron truncatum. Its description in RNAcentral is "eukaryotic LSU rRNA". The stretch from base 1 to 126 matches the Rfam family "5.8S ribosomal RNA", at positions 29 to 154 of the family's 154-position model. Lineage: Eukaryota; Fungi; Ascomycota; Leotiomycetes; Myxotrichaceae. The record is from RNAcentral.